CCUACGGGGGGCAGCAGUGAGGAAUAUUGGUCAAUGGCCGUAAGGCUGAACCAGCCAAGUAGCGUGAGGGAAGACUGCCCUAUGGGUUGUAAACCUCUUUUAUGCGGGGAUAAAGGUGUCCACGUGUGGAUGUUUGCAGGUACCGCAUGAAUCAGGACCGGCUAAUUCCGUGCCAGCAGCCGCGGUAAUACGGAAGGUCCGGGCGUUAUCCGGAUUUAUUGGGUUUAAGGGGAGCGUAGGCGGGCUGUUAAGCCGGCGGUAAAAAUUCAGGGCUCAACCCUGUCGAGCCGUCGGAACUGGCAGUCUUGAGUGGGCGAGAAGUAUGCGGAAUGCGUGGUGUAGCGGUGAAAUGCAGAGAUAUCACGCAGAACGCCGAUUGCGAAGGCAGCAUACCGGCGCCCGACUGACGCUGAGGCACGAAAGCGUGGGGAUCGAACAGGAUUAGAUACCCCAGUAGUC
Molecule: ribosomal RNA, 459 nt
Filed under: uncultured bacterium
Lineage: Bacteria
Description: partial 16S ribosomal RNA
Rfam family: Bacterial small subunit ribosomal RNA
Source: RNAcentral